GCCAGGCAUGGUGGCGCAUGCCUGUAGUCUCAGCUACUCAGGAGGCUGAGGCAGGAGAAUUGCUUGAACCUGGGAGGUGGAGAUUGCAGUGAGCCGAAAUCACACCACUGCACUCCAGCCUGGGCAACAAAGCAAGACUCUGUCUCAA
Unclassified non-coding RNA from Callithrix jacchus (white-tufted-ear marmoset), 148 nucleotides. It matches the Rfam family "Metazoan signal recognition particle RNA". From Rfam's summary of the family: The signal recognition particle (SRP) is a universally conserved ribonucleoprotein. Lineage: Eukaryota; Metazoa; Chordata; Mammalia; Primates; Cebidae. The record is from Ensembl.